GUCUCUUAGCGGUGGAUCACUCAGUUAGUGCGACGAUGAAGAACGCAGCUAGCUAUGAGAAUUAAUGUGAAUUGCAGGACACAUUGAUCAUCAACACUUCAAACGCACUUGCGGCCCCGAGUUCCUCCCGGGGCUACGCCUGUCUAAGUGUCG
Ribosomal RNA from Pteropus vampyrus (large flying fox), 153 nucleotides. It matches the Rfam family "5.8S ribosomal RNA". Rfam says of the family: 5.8S ribosomal RNA (5.8S rRNA) is a component of the large subunit of the eukaryotic ribosome. The record is from Ensembl. NCBI's taxonomy places the organism in Eukaryota, Metazoa, Chordata, Mammalia, Chiroptera, Pteropodidae.